UACGGAGGGUGCAAACGUUGCUCGGAAUCAUUGGGCGUAAAGCGCACGUAGGCGGCCUGUUAAGUCGGAAGUGAAAUCCCACGGCUCAACCAUGGAAAGUGCUUUCGAAAACUGCUGAGCUUGAGUACGAAAAGAGGAUCGCGGAAUUCCCGGUGUAGAGGUGAAAUUCGUAGAUAUCGGGAGGAACACCAGUGGCGAAGGCGGCGAUCUGGGUCGAUACUGACGCUGAGGUGCGAAAAGCGUGGGGAGCAAACAGG
This 257-nucleotide ribosomal RNA is filed under the name uncultured bacterium. RNAcentral's name for it is "partial 16S ribosomal RNA". It matches the Rfam family "Bacterial small subunit ribosomal RNA", at positions 524 to 776 of the family's 1533-position model. The record is from RNAcentral.